UUGGAACUGAGACACGGUCCAAACUCCUACGGGAGGCAGCAGUGAGGAAUAUUGGUCAAUGGACGAGAGUCUGAACCAGCCAAGUAGCGUGAAGGAUGAAGGUCCUACGGAUUGUAAACUUCUUUUAUAAGGGAAUAAAACCUCCCACGUGUGGGAGCUUGUAUGUACCUUAUGAAUAAGCAUCGGCUAACUCCGUGCCAGCAGCCGCGGUAAUACGGAGGAUGCGAGCGUUAUCCGGAUUUAUUGGGUUUAAAGGGAGCGCAGACGGGUCGUUAAGUCAGCUGUGAAAGUUUGGGGCUCAACCUUAAAAUUGCAGUUGAUACUGGCGUCCUUGAGUGCGGUUGAGGUGUGCGGAAUUCGUGGUGUAGCGGUGAAAUGCUUAGAUAUCACGAAGAACUCCGAUUGCGAAGGCAGCACACUAAGCCGUAACUGACGUUCAUGCUCGAAAGUGUGGGUAUCAAACAGGAUUAGAUACCCUGGUAGUCCACACGGUAAACGAUGGAUACUCGCUGUUGGCGAUAUACGGUCAGCGGCUUAGCGAAAGCGUUAAGUAUCCCACCUGGGGAGUACGCCGG
Molecule: ribosomal RNA, 575 nt
Filed under: uncultured bacterium
Lineage: Bacteria
Description: bacterial SSU rRNA
Rfam family: Bacterial small subunit ribosomal RNA
Source: RNAcentral